Molecule: non-coding RNA, 134 nt
Rfam family: Salmonella enterica Typhi npcRNA 44
Source: Rfam
CUUUAACAAUCUGGAACAAGCUGAAAAUUGAAAAAUGACGGCUAAAGCUUAUCCCUGCGUAGAGGUAUUAGAGUAAGGGUCAAGCUGUCAUGGUGACACUCACCUGUUUGCAAUGCGAAGUGAGACACCUUCGG